RNAcentral lists this ribosomal RNA (467 nucleotides) under uncultured bacterium. RNAcentral describes it as "partial 16S ribosomal RNA". It matches the Rfam family "Bacterial small subunit ribosomal RNA", at positions 28 to 507 of the family's 1533-position model. The record is from RNAcentral.
GAUGAACGCUGACAGAAUGCUUAACACAUGCAAGUCAACUUGAAUUUGGGUUUUUAACUUAGGUUUGGGUGGCGGACGGGUGAGUAACGCGUAAAGAACUUGCCUCACAGCUAGGGACAACAUUUGGAAACGAAUGCUAAUACCUAAUAUUAUGAUAAUAGGGCAUCCUAUAAUUAUGAAAGCUAUAAGCGCUGUGAGAGAGCUUUGCGUCCCAUUAGCUAGUUGGAGAGGUAACGGCUCACCAAGGCGAUGAUGGGUAGCCGGCCUGAGAGGGUGAUCGGCCACAAGGGGACUGAGACACGGCCCGUACUCCUACGGGAGGCAGCAGUGGGGAAUAUUGGACAAUGGACGAAGAGUCUGAUCCAGCCAUUCUGUGUGCACGAUGAAGUUUUUCGGAAUGUAAAGUGCUUUCAGUUGGGAAGAAAGAAAUGACGGUACCAACAGAAGAAGUGACGGCUAAAUACGUG